GGUCAGCUCUUGGCAGUGCCUGACCUCACUGCAUCCUGUUAAGUCUCCAAGGAACACCAAAUUUUCCCCUUGUCGUUGGAGACAUGAGGGCUUGAUCCUGGAACAAUGACCCACGAUUCCGAAGGUGAUGACGUUUUCUUGACUUGGGUGUGAUGUGUUCAUCCUUUUUCUGCUGUGCCAAUGGCAGUCUCGGUGGUUAGCAGCACGAGGUAGGGUCCUUCCCAGGCUGGCUCGAGUUUUGCUUCUUUCCGUCCUUUGAUGGUCCCCAGGCUGGUGCUGGUGUACUGGAAAUUCUAGGGGUGGUGCCUGUGCUAGAAGACCUCUGGUUUUAAGUGAAAAAAAGGUAGAGGAGAGACCAAGUAUAUAAUUUCUGAGAAACUGAUCCUUUGAUUCAAAUGUGGGGGCAUGAGCAGUGGAAUAUAAGUAAGGCAACCCAUAUAACAUUUCAUAAGGGGACAGGCCAACAUCUUUCCAAGGGGAGGUUCUAAUCCUUAAUAAAACAAUAGGAAGGCAUUUAGCCUAUGGCAACCGGGUCUCUAGGACUAAUUUAGUUAGGUGGCUUUUAAGGGUUUGGUUCAUCCUUUCUACUCUCCCUGAGGAGGAUGGGUGCCAAGGAAUGUGAUAUUCCCACUUUAUGUCUAGUACUUGAGCCAACUUUUUAAUGAUAUGUGCAGUAAAAUGGGUUCCAUUGUCUGAAUCAAUGUUUUCUAUUAGUCCGAACCUGGGUGUAAUAUGUUCAAUUAUUGCUUUAACUACAUUACUAGCGGUUGCACUUGAAAAAGGGAUAGCCUCUACCCAAUGGGUGAAAUGAUCUACUAUUACCAAUAAAUACUUUAGCUGACCAGGUGGGGGCAUUUCAGCGUAAUCAACUUGGACACUUUGAAAUGGUCUUAGUCCUGGAUUUCUUCCUCCAAGUGGUAAUUUUCUUAGGGCUUGUUUAUUUGUUUUCUUACAAAUUAGACAACUGUCUUUAACUUGUUUUGCUAAAGUAUAAAUCUCAAUAUACCCAUAAACCCUGAGAACUGCAUCACACAUAACUUGGGGCUCCAGUGAGUUCUUUGAUGUAGUUAAGAUAAAACCUCCCUCAAAAGAGGCUUAGAUAAUAUUUCUUUCUGGUCUGGGAGUAUCUAUUUCCCUUCUGAAUUCCUUUGAGCUCCUAUUUUUACUAAUUUUUCCUUCUCAGUAUGACAGAAAAUAGGAACUACAGUGGGAGAAGGAAGACAAGGAGUUAAGUGAAAGAUGGUGUCUCAGAGGAAACAGCAGCUUGCUUGGCUCUUUGAUCCACAAGAGUAUUUCCUCAACUUUCAAAAUAAAAGUUGUGUUGGUGUCCUGGAACAUGGACAAUGUCUAUUUCCUCUGGUAACUGAAGAUUAUUCAGGACACAAUUAAUGUUUCAUAAGCAAGAUCUUGACCUUUACUAUUAAUAAGGCCCCGUUCGGCCCAAAUUUUUCCAAAUGUGUGAGACACCCCAAAAGCAUACUUAGAGUCAGUAUAGAUGGUUCCUACCUGGUUCUAUAAGUAUUUUAGGGCCUGGCUAAGUGCAAAUAGCUCACAGGCUUGGGGAGACCAACUAUUGGGUUAUCUUCCUGAUUCAACUUCUUUGAGAGUUUCCCCAUCGAUUACUGCAUACCCAUUAUGUCGUUUUCCCUCAAUUACCUGGGAGGAACCAUCUGUAAAUAAAGCUGCCCUGUCUUAAAGGGGGUUUCUACUAAAUCUGGGCUGACUUUCGUAUGGUAGUCAAUUAAAUCUAGACAUAGGUGUUCCCUUUUUAGCAGUGGGUUCCCUGUCAAGAAACCCACUGGGUUAAGUGAAUUGUCUGUAGUUAAGGUUAAAUCAUCUUUUUCUAAUAGGAUAGCUUCAUAUUUUAAAAUUCUGGAGUCAGUGAGCCAUCUUCCUGCCUUUUGGCUUAGGAUAGCUUGACUUGUUGAGGUGUACUCACUGUCAGAUAUCCUCCAAAAGUUAAUUUCCUGCUUUCUUCAACCAAUAUCACCGUGGCCACAAUGGAUUGAAUACGCUGAGGCCAUCUGCAGGCGACUGGAUCUAGAACUUUUGACAGGAAGGCCACUGGCUGUCGGCAGCCCCCAUGUUCUUGGGUAAGCACUCCUAGAGCCACUCCAUUAUCUACGUUAACAAAAAGAUGAAAUGGUUUUUCUAGAGAGGGUAGGGCCAGGACAGGAGCAGUUAUGAGUCUUUCCUUUUACUCCCCAACCUGAUCAACCUCUUCAGAAGUCCAUAUGAAGAGAUCAGGUUCUCCUUUAGUUAGCUUCUCAUAUGGAAGUUUACUUUUUAAUGCAUAUGAGUCAAUCCAUAAAUGGCAGUAUCCAACUAACCCUAAAAAUUUCCUGAGUUCUUGCUUGGUUUGAGGCAAGGGCAAAGACACAAUUCCUUUGACCCAUUUGGGUCCUAUUCUUCCUUUGUCUGCAUUUAUUAAAUGGCCUAAGUAUUUAACUUCAGGUUCUACAUAUUGAAGCUUUCUCUUUGAGACCCAUACCCUUCAAACUGUAAGUGGUUAAGAACGUGUGUAGAAAACCCAGCUACCUUCUCUAUGUCUUCUCCAGAUAUAAGAAUAUCAUCCACAUAUUGGAGCAAACGUAGCUGCUUUGGGACAACAACUUUUUCUAAUACUUGCUCUAAGAUUUGACCAAAAAGAUUGAGUGAAUCUGUAAAUCCUUGGGGUAAAACUGUCCAUCUAUACUGUUGUUUCCAUCUUGAAUGGGGACCUUCCCAUUCAAAAGUAAAUAUAUCCUGGCUGUCUUCAGCCAAGGGACCUGCCCAGAAUGCAUCCUUUAAGUCUAUUACUGUGAACCACUGAUGACUGUGUGAAAUUUUACUAAGAAUGGUGUAAGGGUUGGGUACAACAGAAUGAGUGGUCUGGACUAUUUGAUUGAUAGCUGUAAGGUCCUGCACUAGUUGGUAUGACCCAUCUGAUUUUUUGACUGGUAAAAUUGGAGUGUUGUAUGAGGACAUACAAGGUUCAAGUAGUCCAUCUUUAAUAAGACUCUCAAUUACAGGCUUUAACCCUACCCUUCUUCUAAAGGGAUAGGGUAUUGCUUUCUUCUCACUACCUCCCCUGGAGUCCUUAACCUGAUAUGUAUUGGAGGAAUUCGUAGCUUUCCUCAGUUUCCUUCCCUUGGCCAGACAUCGAGAUGAAUGGACUUCUCAUCUGCUGUGGUAAGCAAAUUUAAGGAAGUUAGAACACCCUUUGGGCCAACUUGCAGACCUAUACCUAGUUUUAACAUUGAAUCUCUCCCUAACAGAUUGGUUCCUGCUUCAGGAAUUAACAAAAGUUGAAUACAAGUUGACUGAUCUUGGUAUUUUGCUUCUGUAUUUUCUAAAACUUUCUCCUUAAAUUCUUCUCCUUUUACCCCAGAAACUAGCAAUUCCUCUGUAGAACAAGUUAAAUCAGCUGGGGGAAAACAAACAGACAAGCAAGCAGCUCCUGAGUCAAUUAAAAAGGUCUUGGCUGGAAAUUUUGGUCUGCUGCCAGAACAUUUUGGCCCAGAGGAUGGUCACACUCCCAGACCACCACAGCAGCUCUGCGGAUCAUGUUCUGCUCUUCCCCUGAAAAGAGGAUACCUAGGAUGGACAUUAAUUCAGCCCAGGUAUAUAACUGCGGGCCUAAAAACUGAUCAAUUUGAUCUGCCACUCCAUAAGGAUCAUCUAAUAAUGGCUUGAGUUCUUUUUUUUUAAGACUUCGGACUUCGGAACCAGUUAAGGGAGCAUUUACAAGGCAAAUUGCCCCCCCUUGUGGUACCUCCCUUAAAAGAAAGAACUUUGAAGAUGAAUCCUUAGAAGUGGGGAGGGGGAAAGGAAGACUCUGAAUAUCCUUUCUACAUUGUUGUAUUUCCCGUUGAAGUCCUUUCUUUAAAGAAGGAUAUUCAGACUGACAAAACUUGGGUCCCUGGGACAAUAACUUCCAGGAGUCCGGGUUGUAUGGGGGAGGAAUAACCUGAGUAUGAGGAUCCAGAGGAGAGUCUGGAACUGGGUCUGGGAUGGGGUUUGGGGCGGCGGCAAUUGCUUGAGGAGGGAGUGGUGGGUUUUUGAGAAGUGGGGGAUGGUGGUCUAGAGGGUCCCACUUACUCGUGGAUGUCUUAGAAGUAGAAACUUUGUUCUCAGAUGAGACAGCCUCUGAGUCCUUUUUACCUUCUAGUUCCUUCCCAUCUAUUCUUAGCGGGUAGAGAAGAACGGCCCCUGCCGCCAGCACAGAGCAUAGUCUAUUUCUUCUUGUGAGAGAGGACUCUUGUCAUUAACAUACAUUAUUAGGAGUUGACAAACCCAGUCCCCAUCCAACCCAAACUUUGGCCAGAAAACUGUGGGCUUGAGGAUUGGCUCUUUAGUCCAAAUAAAGCAGCAAUACUUUAUCAUUUGCUGCUUUCCCUUGAGUUUAGUCCUCUCAUUGUCUUUCCAAUACUUUAACAUAAGCCCUAAAGGACUAUCGGUGGGGGGGAUUUGACCAUCUGCAUUCUUUCCCUUCCCUGUUUUACUAGAAAUAUUCCCUAUACUGAGUACCAGUUAGACUCAACCUCUCGACCCAGAGUUUUCUUGCUUAUCCCGUUUUCCAGAGGCUUGCUUAAAACAACCUCACGUAUGGCCGGGCGCAGUGGCUCACACCUGUAAUCCCAGCACUUUG
Molecule: long non-coding RNA, 4630 nt
Filed under: Homo sapiens (human)
Lineage: Eukaryota; Metazoa; Chordata; Mammalia; Primates; Hominidae
Description: HSALNT0291178
Source: RNAcentral